CUGAGCCGGAGUCAGAUGCUUGACCGACUGAGCCACCCAGGUGCCCCGAAAUAUGGAUAUUUUUAAAAGAAAAGAUUUAUCAUGAAUUCAUACUUAUUCAUAUUGGUAUUUCCAAUUCUACAUUAUUAACUAGAUAAUAUAUAAAUAUUAUCUAUAUAUUAUAUUGAUAAUAUGUAAAUAUUAUCAAUAUAAAUGUAUAUUGAAUUAAUAUAUUCUAUCUUGUUUCUAUUUCUUUCUCCCAUGCUGAAAAUCCUAGUUUCCCCAAACUCUAUACAAUCACAUGCUGUAUUCUCCUACAAUUUUAGCCAAGAUUGAGAAGACCGGACGGAAGAUCCGCUGAAAAAAGAAAGCCAGCAAGAAAGGGAUGCAAACCAAAAAUCUAAGUGACGGAAGAGAGAAUACUCUGCUUUAAGGAAGGACAUGCACUGGUGGAAAAUCUCAACAAUGGGGGUGGGGUGGGGGAGGGGAGGGAACCUUCGUGCAAGCCGUGAUGCAGGCACUUUGAUCUCUUAAAGCUGGGAUUUCUGUUAAACUAAAUUUGUAUACAAAGUGGAUUAUUCUGCAUAUCAUUUUAAUAAGAAUAUGAAAACCUAGCAACAUGUAAUGUUUUCAUGGGAGACUUGAGGCUCUGUCUUCCUAAAAUACAUUUAUUGGUAUUCGUGAUGCAAUAUGUAAAUAUCAUAAAAAUAAAUAUCCACAGUCUCAUCCA
Molecule: long non-coding RNA, 709 nt
Organism: Felis catus (domestic cat)
Lineage: Eukaryota; Metazoa; Chordata; Mammalia; Carnivora; Felidae
Exons: 2
Source: RefSeq, a predicted model, not a curated record